This 253-nucleotide ribosomal RNA is filed under the name uncultured bacterium. RNAcentral describes it as "partial 16S ribosomal RNA". It matches the Rfam family "Bacterial small subunit ribosomal RNA", at positions 524 to 776 of the family's 1533-position model. The record is from RNAcentral.
UACAGAGGCCUCGAGCGUUAGGCGGAAUCACUGGGCUUAAAGCGUGUGUAGGCGGAUCGUUAAGUACCUUGUGAAAUCCCACGGCUUAACCAUGGAAUUGCUUGGUAUACUGGCGGUCUUGAGCCACUUAGGGGCUACCGGAACAAAUGGUGGAGCGGUGAAAUGCGUAGAUAUCAUUUGGAACGCCAAUGGUGAAAACAGGUAGCUGGGAGUGUGCUGACGCUGAGACACGAAAGCCAGGGGAGCAAACGGG